RNAcentral lists this ribosomal RNA (36 nucleotides) under Perennicordyceps prolifica. RNAcentral describes it as "Polycephalomyces prolificus partial large subunit ribosomal RNA". Lineage: Eukaryota; Fungi; Ascomycota; Sordariomycetes; Hypocreales; Polycephalomycetaceae. RNAcentral also lists the same sequence under 23 other names. The record is from RNAcentral.
GACCUCGGAUCAGGUAGGAAUACCCGCUGAACUUAA